ACCAGCUGAUCGGGCUAUGAAGUUCAUCCAAAGCUAAGCAGGUUUGGGCCUGGCCAGUACUUAGAUGGGAGACCAGCUAGGAAAGCUGGGUUGCUGCUGGUA
Molecule: ribosomal RNA, 102 nt
Filed under: Paramormyrops kingsleyae
Lineage: Eukaryota; Metazoa; Chordata; Actinopteri; Osteoglossiformes; Mormyridae
Source: RNAcentral